This is a small nucleolar RNA of Neoarius graeffei (lesser salmon catfish), 72 nucleotides long. RefSeq annotates it as small nucleolar RNA SNORD61. The record is from RefSeq and is a predicted model, not a curated record. The transcript has a single exon. NCBI's taxonomy places the organism in Eukaryota, Metazoa, Chordata, Actinopteri, Siluriformes, Ariidae.
GCUGUGAUGAACAAUUUUGGAAUUGAUCCACAAAAUGAAAAUAAAUCAAUACCUCUGAGAAGUUCUGAGCUU